UGGGGAAUAUUGGACAAUGGGGGCAACCCUGAUCCAGCAAUGCCGCGUGUGUGAAGAAGGUUUUCGGAUUGUAAAGCACUUUCGGCGGGGACGAUGAUGACGGUACCCGCAGAAGAAGCCCCGGCUAACUUCGUGCCAGCAGCCGCGGUAAUACGAAGGGGGCUAGCGUUGCUCGGAAUGACUGGGCGUAAAGGGCGUGUAGGCGGUUUGUACAGUCAGAUGUGAAAUCCCCGGGCUUAACCUGGGAGCUGCAUUUGAUACGUGCAGACUAGAGUGUGAGAGAGGGUUGUGGAAUUCCCAGUGUAGAGGUGAAAUUCGUAGAUAUUGGGAAGAACACCGGUGGCGAAGGCGGCAACCUGGCUCAUAACUGACGCUGAGGCGCGAAAGCGUGGGGGAGCAA
Molecule: ribosomal RNA, 400 nt
Filed under: uncultured bacterium
Lineage: Bacteria
Description: partial 16S ribosomal RNA
Rfam family: Bacterial small subunit ribosomal RNA
Source: RNAcentral